Molecule: small nuclear RNA, 104 nt
Organism: Monodelphis domestica (gray short-tailed opossum)
Lineage: Eukaryota; Metazoa; Chordata; Mammalia; Didelphimorphia; Didelphidae
Source: Ensembl
GUAUUAGUUCCAAGAUGGAAGGUAAAGGUUUAAACCCCCCAAAAAGAUUAGCAUGGCCCCUGCACAAUGAUGACAUUCAAAUUCAUUAAGUGUUCCAUGUUUUA